This 466-nucleotide ribosomal RNA is filed under the name uncultured bacterium. RNAcentral's name for it is "partial 16S ribosomal RNA". It matches the Rfam family "Bacterial small subunit ribosomal RNA", at positions 28 to 507 of the family's 1533-position model. The record is from RNAcentral.
GACGAACGCUGGCGGCGUGCUUAACACAUGCAAGUCGAACGGAAAGGCCUCUUUCGGGGGGUACUCGAGUGGCGAACAGGUGAGUAACACGUGAGUAACCUGCCCUUGACUUUGGGAUAACUUCAGGAAACUGGGGCUAAUACCGGAUAGGAGCUCCUGCUGCAUGGUGGGGGUUGGAAAGUUUCGGCGGUUGGGGAUGGACUCGCGGCUUAUCAGCUUGUUGGUGGGGUAGUGGCUUACCAAGGCUUUGACGGGUAGCCGGCCUGAGAGGGUGACCGGCCACAUUGGGACUGAGAUACGGCCCAGACUCCUACGGGAGGCAGCAGUGGGGAAUAUUGCACAAUGGUGGAAGCCUGAUGCAGCAACGCCGUGUGCGGGAUGACGGCCUUCGGGUUGUAAACCGCUUUCGCUCAUGACGAAGCUUUGUGUGACGGUAGUGGGUAAAGAAGCACCGGCUAACUACGUG